This 326-nucleotide ribosomal RNA is filed under the name uncultured eukaryote. Its description in RNAcentral is "partial 18S ribosomal RNA". It matches the Rfam family "Eukaryotic small subunit ribosomal RNA", at positions 1470 to 1796 of the family's 1831-position model. The record is from RNAcentral.
CCCUUAGAUGGUCUGGGCCGCACGCGCGCUACACUGAAGGGAUCAGCGUGUUUUCCCUUUCCGAGAGGAACGGGUAACCCGCUGAACCCCCUUCGUGGUAGGGAUCGGAGCUUGCAAUUGUUCUCCGUGAACCAGGAAUUCCCAGUAAGCGCAAGUCAUAAGCUUGCGUUGAUUACGUCCCUGCCCUUUGUACACACCGCCCGUCGCUACUACCGAUUGAACGUUUUAGUGAGGUAUUUGGACUGGGCCUUGGGAGGUUUCGGCCUCCCUUGUUGCUCGGAAAGACUCCCAAACUUGAGCGUUUAGAGGAAGUAAAAGUCGUAACA